This 69-nucleotide transfer RNA is filed under the name Strombus pugilis. RNAcentral describes it as "tRNA-Asn". Lineage: Eukaryota; Metazoa; Mollusca; Gastropoda; Littorinimorpha; Strombidae. The record is from RNAcentral.
UAAGUGAAAGCCAAAGUGUGCGGCGCCUAGCUGUUAAUUAGGAGAUUGUAAGAAAUAUUACUCACUUAG